AUGGCAUGCCCAUGCGUUGAUGCUGCUGCUGCAUGUACACUACACGGAUGUGUACGUGGUCUGCUGCAUGUACAUCGCGUUCACUCGACCGCACAACUCCGGCACACGCGGAAAAGUGAAGAAAAACGGAGAAAGAGGCAUAACAGCGAAAAGGACCCCAAAAGAAAUGGAAGUUUACAGCGACGCCCUUGGGAUAUGCCAACCUGGACCUCUUCAUCGCCUACACUUUUUCAUCGUCGUCGUCGCCGAAGCUCCCGCCGGAAGAAAUGGUGCGUGCUCCAUGAUUGUGUUUCCACCAUGACGGCGGCCAUUGACGUCCACAAUAGCAAGUAG
Molecule: ribosomal RNA, 333 nt
Filed under: Triticum aestivum (bread wheat)
Lineage: Eukaryota; Viridiplantae; Streptophyta; Magnoliopsida; Poales; Poaceae
Description: partial small subunit ribosomal RNA
Source: RNAcentral